CCUGACUGCUAUCGGAUUGAUACUAAGCCAUGCGAGUCAUUGUAGCAAUACAAGGCAGACGGCUCAGUAACGCGUAGUCAACCUACCCUAUGGACGGGAAUAACCUCGGGAAACUGAGAAUAAUGCCCGAUAGAACACUAUACCUGGAAUGGUUUGUGUUUCAAAUGAUUUAUCGCCGUAGGAUGGGACUGCGGCCUAUCAGUUUGUUGGUGAGGUAAUGGCCCACCAAGACUAUUACAGGUACGGGCUCUGAGAGGAGAAGCCCGGAGACGGGUACUGAGACACGGACCCAGGCCCUAUGGGGCGCAGCAGGCGAGAAACCUUUGCAAUGUGCGCAAGCACGACAAGGUUAAUCCGAGUGUUUCCUGCUAAAGGAAUCUUUUGUUAGUUGUAAAACCACUGACGAAUAAGGGGUGGGCAAGUUCUGGUGUCAGCCGCCGCGGUAAAACCAGCACCUCAAGUGGUCAGGAUGAUUAUUGGGCCUAAAGCAUCCGUAGCCUGUUUUGUCAGUUUUCGGUUAAAUCUGUACGCUCAACGUACAGGCUGCCGGGAAUACUGCAGAGCUAGGGAGUGGGAGAGGUAGACGGUACUCGGGAGGAAGUGGUAAAAUGCUUUGACCUCUCGAUGACCACCUGUGGCGAAGGCGGUCUACCAGAACACGUCCGACGGUGAGGGAUGAAAGCUGGGGGAGCAAACCGGAUUAGAUACCCGGGUAGUCCCAGCUGUAAACUAUGCAAACUAAGUGAUGCAUUGGCUUGUGGCCAAUGCAGUAUUUCAGGGAAGCCGUUAAGUUUGCCGCCUGGGAAGUACGUACGCAAGUAUGAAACUUAAAGGAGUUGGCGGGGGAGCACCACAAGGGGUGAAGCCUGCGGUUC
This 875-nucleotide ribosomal RNA is filed under the name uncultured Candidatus Nitrosopumilus sp. RNAcentral's name for it is "bacterial SSU rRNA". It matches the Rfam family "Archaeal small subunit ribosomal RNA", at positions 21 to 903 of the family's 1478-position model. The record is from RNAcentral. Lineage: Archaea; Thermoproteati; Nitrososphaerota; Nitrososphaeria; Nitrosopumilales; Nitrosopumilaceae.